UCAAUCGGUAAUCCCUCAUUUCUUUUCUUUCAGUUGGUUACUACCAUUUUCGUUAAAUCCGAUGAAUGGUGGUUUGAUUCUUAUUUCGGUUCAGCAGGUUCGGUUCGAUGCCCGGGUCAAACCUGGUCAAACUUGGUCAACUGAGGUCUCGAUGCUCUCGGUAGUUCAACGACGGUGACCGCGGUGUUCCACCCUCCAAAUCUUUUACGCUCGUCAACACUUGGAUAAUCGGAAGACUUAGCAAUUAUGUUGACAGUCAAGAUGUUGAAGAAUCAAGUUAGGAUGGACUA
Molecule: long non-coding RNA, 290 nt
Organism: Helianthus annuus (common sunflower)
Lineage: Eukaryota; Viridiplantae; Streptophyta; Magnoliopsida; Asterales; Asteraceae
Exons: 3
Source: RefSeq, a predicted model, not a curated record